RNAcentral lists this ribosomal RNA (492 nucleotides) under uncultured bacterium. Its description in RNAcentral is "partial 16S ribosomal RNA". It matches the Rfam family "Bacterial small subunit ribosomal RNA", at positions 28 to 507 of the family's 1533-position model. The record is from RNAcentral.
GAUGAACGCUAGCUACAGGCUUAACACAUGCAAGUCGAGGGGAAACGACAUCGAAAGCUUGCUUUUGAUGGGCGUCGACCGGCGCACGGGUGAGUAACGCGUAUCCAACCUGCCCAUCACUUGGGGAUAACCUUGCGAAAGUAAGACUAAUACCCAAUGAUAUCUCUAGAAGACAUCUGAAAGAGAUUAAAGAUUUAUCGGUGAUGGAUGGGGAUGCGUCUGAUUAGCUUGUUGGCGGGGUAACGGCCCACCAAGGCAACGAUCAGUAGGGGUUCUGAGAGUAAGGUCCCCCACAUUGGAACUGAGACACGGUCCAAACUCCUACGGGAGGCAGCAGUGAGGAAUAUUGGUCAAUGGGCGAGAGCCUGAACCAGCCAAGUAGCGUGCAGGAAGACGGCCCUAUGGGUUGUAAACUGCUUUUAUAAGAGAAUAAAGUGAGAGUCGUGACUCUUUUUGUAUGUACCUUAUGAAUAAGGACCGGCUAAUUCCGUG